Long non-coding RNA from Camelus dromedarius (Arabian camel), 664 nucleotides. RefSeq lists it as uncharacterized. The transcript has 3 exons. NCBI's taxonomy places the organism in Eukaryota, Metazoa, Chordata, Mammalia, Artiodactyla, Camelidae. The record is from RefSeq and is a predicted model, not a curated record.
AUGCCGGUAUUCUCCAUUGUAGCGGAACAACUCUCAUCAAUAUGUUCGCAUCUCUCCUCAAUCCGUGCAGCCAGCUUUUCUGCCAGCUUCUCUUCGUGUCUCCCAUAAAGUCGACUUCAACAGGACUGGGCAAGUCUGAAAGUACCUCGGAGCCUCACCAGUAAGCUGAUGACAGGCAGAUCUUCCACUGUCUGCCCUUUCAGGUUCUGGAAACUUACCCGUGAACUUAGGUCUUUGGGCAGCAGCAUUAUCUUGAACUUACACAGCGUCCCGAACAAAAGACCUAAGCCAAUCUCCACAAAGGGCGGCAGCCCCUCCAUCACACUGAUCCACCCACAGAAUUCUGCCCAGUUACCUUGGAUCCACCAGCCAGAACAAGCCUCGUGGUACACAACAAGAUUCCACCUAGAAUCCAACCGAUACACCAUUGGAAACAUAUCUAUGGAUGUCAUACAACAGGGCCUGCUGGAAUGAUUCUACAGACCGACGUAUGAGUCCUCGGUGCAGUACCAUGUCAGUGCCAUCCAAAAUGUAGCAUCUGCAUUUGGGAGAUAAUGCUGAAGGACUCUGAGGCCUCAUGUUGUCUUUGGAAAUAACAGACCACUCUUCGGCAAGUGUCCUGUGCCAAGGGCUGGGUGAGUGGAUGUUUACAUUACUGUGUACA